CACGUCAUCACAGACAUCAUAAUGAAUGAUUUUCAUGUUUAUAUUUAAAUUAGUUGUUAUAUGUUUGUCAUUUGAAUUUGACACUUAAUUUGUUCAAAUUUAUACUUACAUACAACAAAUUUAAACAGAGACAUGAAAAUCAUUCAUUAUGAUAUCCGUGAUGACGUG
RNAcentral lists this microRNA precursor (168 nucleotides) under Glycine max (soybean). Its description in RNAcentral is "miR5379 stem-loop (gma-MIR5379)". The record is from miRBase by way of RNAcentral. Lineage: Eukaryota; Viridiplantae; Streptophyta; Magnoliopsida; Fabales; Fabaceae.